RNAcentral lists this ribosomal RNA (440 nucleotides) under uncultured bacterium. RNAcentral's name for it is "partial 16S ribosomal RNA". It matches the Rfam family "Bacterial small subunit ribosomal RNA", at positions 338 to 795 of the family's 1533-position model. The record is from RNAcentral.
CCUACGGGAGGCAGCAGUGGGGAAUAUUGCACAAUGGGGGAAACCCUGAUGCAGCGACGCCGCGUGAGGGAAGAAGUAAUUCGUUAUGUAAAGCUCUUUCAGUAGGGAAGAAAAUGACGGUACCUGAGUAAGAAGCCCCGGCUAACUACGUGCCAGCAGCCGCGGUAAUACGGAGGGGGCAAGCGUUAUCCGGAUUUACUGGGUGUAAAGGGAGCGUAGACGGCAGUGCAAGUCUGGAGGUAAAGGCGGGGGCCCAACCCCCGGACUGCUCUGGAAACUGUACGGCUGGAGUGCAGGAGAGGUAAGUGGAAUUCCUAGUGUAGCGGUGAAAUGCGUAGAUAUUAGGAGGAACACCAAUGGCGAAGGCAGCUUACUGGACUGUAACUGACGUUGAGGCUCGAAAGCGUGGGGAGCAAACAGGAUUAGAUACCCGGGUAGUC